GACGAACGCUGGCGGCGUGCCUAAUACAUGCAAGUAGAACGCUGAAGGAGGAGCUUGCUUCUCUGGAUGAGUUGCGAACGGGUGAGUAACGCGUAGGUAACCUGCCUGGUAGCGGGGGAUAACUAUUGGAAACGAUAGCUAAUACCGCAUAAGAGUAGAUGUUGCAUGACAUUUGCUUAAAAGGUGCAAUUGCAUCACUACCAGAUGGACCUGCGUUGUAUUAGCUAGUUGGUGGGGUAACGGCUCACCAAGGCGACGAUACAUAGCCGACCUGAGAGGGUGAUCGGCCACACUGGGACUGAGACACGGCCCAGACUCCUACGGGAGGCAGCAGUAGGGAAUCUUCGGCAAUGGACGGAAGUCUGACCGAGCAACGCCGCGUGAGUGAAGAAGGGUGUCGGAUCGUAAAGCUCGGUUGUAAGAGAAGAACGAGUGUGAGAGUGGAAAGUUCACACUGUGACGGUAUCUUACCAGAAAGGGACGGCUAACUACGUG
Molecule: ribosomal RNA, 495 nt
Filed under: uncultured bacterium
Lineage: Bacteria
Description: partial 16S ribosomal RNA
Rfam family: Bacterial small subunit ribosomal RNA
Source: RNAcentral